This 371-nucleotide long non-coding RNA is filed under the name Citrus sinensis (sweet orange). RNAcentral's name for it is "long non-coding RNA (CSIN_LNC005641)". Lineage: Eukaryota; Viridiplantae; Streptophyta; Magnoliopsida; Sapindales; Rutaceae. The record is from RNAcentral.
GUGACUCCCAAUAUAAAAAGCUAGACUUUUGUUCGAAUAAAGUUCACAGUCAUCUGCAUUCUGCAAUAUAGAUAACUCAUUAAAGACGACAUCUAUCAUUACCUACCAUUUUAAACAAGUGUUUCAAAGAUGAUUUUUUUUUUUUUUGCCGCGUCAUUAUGUAUUUUUUUCAAGAGUCAUCUUUAUCGUUUAUUGUAGUGCGAGGGCCUUUAAGUUUUGUACAUAUGUUGCCAUGUUCAUUAAUGAGCAUUCUCUCUUCAAUUAUUUAAUUUGUCGACACUUUACUCCUUCUUUGCCCGAUUACAAUUUUUGUUCUGUUAUGAUGCUCUUCUUUUUCUUAAAAUGCACAAUUUGACACAAGACCAUUAAUC